GCUGGCAGUGAUGACAAACUUGCCCUCACUGAGAUCUGUUCAGGGUUUGAUGUUGAGAAACUUUCUCUGUGCUCAACUUGUGCUGAGCCUCC
RNAcentral lists this small nucleolar RNA (92 nucleotides) under Catharus ustulatus (Swainson's thrush). RNAcentral's name for it is "Small nucleolar RNA SNORD103/SNORD85 (ENSCUSG00005016054.1)". It matches the Rfam family "Small nucleolar RNA SNORD103/SNORD85". Rfam says of the family: This family includes the snoRNAs SNORD103 (U103) and SNORD85 (HBII-251) . The members of this family belong to the C/D class of snoRNAs which contain the C (UGAUGA) and D (CUGA) box motifs. In the human genome, there are two identical copies of SNORD103 (SNORD103A and SNORD103B) which share the same host gene with SNORD85. The record is from Rfam by way of RNAcentral. Lineage: Eukaryota; Metazoa; Chordata; Aves; Passeriformes; Turdidae.